GAUGAACGCUAGCGGGAGGCCUAACACAUGCAAGCCGAGCGGUAUGGGUAGCUUGCUACCCAGAGAGCGGCGUACGGGUGCGUAACACGUGUGCAACAUGCCCCUAUCCGGGGGAUAGCCCUCCGAAAGGAGGAUUAAUACCCCAUAAUAUAUCUGGUGGCAUCACUAGAUAUUGAAAACCCCGGUGGAUAGGGAUGGGCACGCGCAAGAUUAGAUAGUUGGCGGGGUAACGGCCCACCAAGUCGAUGAUCUUUAGGGGUCCUGAGAGGGAGAUCCCCCACACUGGUACUGGGACACGGACCAGACUCCUACGGGAGGCAGCAGUGAGGAAUAGUGGACAAUGGGUGGAAGCCUGAUCCAGCCAUCCCGCGUGAGAGACGACGGCCCUAUGGGUUGUAAACCUCUUUUGUACGGGGAUAAACCUAUCUACGUGUAGAUAGCUGAAGGUACCGUACGAAUAAGCACCGGCUAACUCCGUG
RNAcentral lists this ribosomal RNA (479 nucleotides) under uncultured bacterium. Its description in RNAcentral is "partial 16S ribosomal RNA". It matches the Rfam family "Bacterial small subunit ribosomal RNA", at positions 28 to 507 of the family's 1533-position model. The record is from RNAcentral.